RNAcentral lists this ribosomal RNA (468 nucleotides) under uncultured bacterium. RNAcentral describes it as "partial 16S ribosomal RNA". It matches the Rfam family "Bacterial small subunit ribosomal RNA", at positions 28 to 507 of the family's 1533-position model. The record is from RNAcentral.
GACGAACGCUGGCGGCGUGCUUAACACAUGCAAGUCGAACGGAAAGGCCCUGCUUUUGUGGGGUGCUCGAGUGGCGAACGGGUGAGUAACACGUGAGUAACCUGCCCUUGACUUUGGGAUAACUUCAGGAAACUGGGGCUAAUACCGGAUAGGAGCUCCUGCUGCAUGGUGGGGGUUGGAAAGUUUCGGCGGUUGGGGAUGGACUCGCGGCUUAUCAGCUUGUUGGUGGGGUAGUGGCUUACCAAGGCUUUGACGGGUAGCCGGCCUGGGAGGGUGACCGGCCACAUUGGGACUGAGAUAGGGCCCAGACUCCUACGGGAGGCAGCAGUGGGGAAUAUUGCACAAUGGGCGGAAGCCUGAUGCAGCAACGCCGCGUGCGGGAUGACGGCCUUCGGGUUGUAACCCGCUUUCGCCUGUGACGAAGCGUGAGUGACGGUAAUGGGUAAAGAAGCACCGGCUAACUACGUG